CGCUGCCUGGCGAUGUCCCCGGCCGCCACCCCUCGAGCGAGGCUGUGCGUCUGGACUUGGGCCUCGCCCGCGACAGGAGCUGCUCGCGCGGUCCCGAACUCGGGGUCGCAGUUCAUGCGCUCCUGGGGAAAGGGUGGAAGGGCCCCUGUCGGGAUCCUGGUUCGCAGGCUGAAGAAUUCCUUCGCCGGGGAGCGCCUUUGGGGAGUGACGGAGGCAAGGCGUAGGGCCCUAGGUGGUGGCGGGAUGAGUCUGGAAUUAGGGCCCACACUGCCCCGAGUGCCCGCAGCGCCAGGGCGCAGUUGGAGGCCUGGGGACCCAAGGCGUUGGGCCUUUCAGGGAAACCUGGGGCGCCAUGAUUGGUGGGAACCUGCCUCCUGGUCCCGGACUCCACCCUAAUGAGCCAGGGCACGAAUUUGAACUUGGGGCCUUGUCCCUGGCUUGGAGCACCCCCCCCCCCGACCACGCAUUGCCCCUGGCACCCUGCUGGCCUGGGGCUGCCAAGGGGUCACGCGCUCAACCGCUAACUAACUGUGAGUCUUGAUUUCUGAGAGACCCACACGGGGCAGAAGCACAGGGGCUUGGUUAGACAGCAGACAGAGGGAACCGCACCGAGACCUGCUCACUUCCGGCACUGGGACUCUUAACUGCACGUCUUCAAAUCCUUGACCUCGAAGCUCUCCCACCUAGCGACGUCCGGGCCUCUGCAAGAGGGACUGGGGACAUUAAGUUUCUUGGGACACUUUCAUCCCUGUGACGUGGGCUCCAGGAGGAAGUCGCUCCCGAGGACGUGAGGCGCCGCUGUCACGCGCAGAUGGGAGACCCUGGAGCCCUGAAGAAAGGAAGGAAAAGGGACAGGGCCCUCGCUGCAGUUUCAGGGCUUUCCUCCCGACAUUGGCCACAAUAAAUUUAGCCAGGGCUAAAGGAGAUUAAUUUCCCAG
Molecule: long non-coding RNA, 938 nt
Organism: Heterocephalus glaber (naked mole-rat)
Lineage: Eukaryota; Metazoa; Chordata; Mammalia; Rodentia; Bathyergidae
Source: Ensembl